Molecule: ribosomal RNA, 536 nt
Filed under: uncultured bacterium
Lineage: Bacteria
Description: bacterial SSU rRNA
Rfam family: Bacterial small subunit ribosomal RNA
Source: RNAcentral
CUCCUACGGGAGGCAGCAGUAGGGAAUAUUGGACAAUGGGGGCAACCCUGAUCCAGCCAUGCCGCGUGAGUGAAGAAGGCCCUCGGGUUGUAAAGCUCUUUUGUCCGGAAAGAAAAGCAAUCGGUUAAUACCCGGUUGUUCUGACGGUACCGGAAGAAUAAGCACCGGCCAACUUCGUGCCAGCAGCCGCGGUAAUACGAAGGGUGCAAGCGUUACUCGGAAUUACUGGGCGUAAAGCGUGCGUAGGUGGUUCGUUAAGUCUGAUGUGAAAGCCCUGGGCUCAACCUGGGAAUGGCAUUGGAUACUGGCGGGCUAGAGUGCGGUAGAGGGUAGUGGAAUUCCCGGUGUAGCAGUGAAAUGCGUAGAGAUCGGGAGGAACAUCUGUGGCGAAGGCGACUGCCUGGACCAGCACUGACACUGAGGCACGAAAGCGUGGGGAGCAAACAGGAUUAGAUACCCUGGUAGUCCACGCCCUAAACGAUGCGAACUGGAUGUUGGGUUCAACUUGGAACUCAGUAUCGAAGCUAACGCGUUAA